AAAGCUUCUUCAUUUUCUUCAAUCAAGUAUCCAAAGCACUUCUUCGAGUUCUCCAAAAAUGGCUCAGAUGAAAGUUGUAAUGAAGGUGCUAACCAUGUCUGAUGAAAAAACAAAGCAGAAAGCCAUAGAAGCUGCAGCUGAUAUUUUAGGUGUAGAUUCAAUAGCAGCAGAUCUAAAGGAGCAAAAAUUGACAGUUAUAGGGGAAAUGGAUGCAGUUGCAGUGGUGAAGAAAUUGAAAAAAGCUGUUGGUAAAGUAGAUAUAUUAUCAGUGGGACCAGCUAAGGAAGAGAAGA
This 293-nucleotide unclassified non-coding RNA is filed under the name Hevea brasiliensis (rubber tree). The record is from RNAcentral. Lineage: Eukaryota; Viridiplantae; Streptophyta; Magnoliopsida; Malpighiales; Euphorbiaceae.